Long non-coding RNA from Manis javanica (Malayan pangolin), 1674 nucleotides. RefSeq lists it as uncharacterized. NCBI's taxonomy places the organism in Eukaryota, Metazoa, Chordata, Mammalia, Pholidota, Manidae. The record is from RefSeq and is a predicted model, not a curated record.
CUGAGGAACCAGCAGGACAUCAAGUCCAGCGGCCUUUUCUCACAGAAGUGGAUGCUGGAGCCCAGAGAGGGUGAGAGGCCUGCUGGACGCACAGCUGGCUUUGAUCUCUGCCCCCUGGAAGGUGCACAGCUGGGAUUCCUGGGUGUGCCCUCAUCUUCAUGCCUGGCUUCACAGAUCCAGACUGGGGUGCCAGCUGUCUGCACCCUCCCAAGUCCUCCACACACCCUGUGAGUACUGCAAUAGACUGAAUAUUUGUGUCUCCCAAUCUUGGACUUCCCAGUCUCCAGAAUGCACGUGAGCAGUGGAAGCAGUGUCCAGAGCUGCAACCAGGAGUGGAAAACAGGUGACCUGCUUGAGAUACCAAACGUCCAGCUCUGUGCUGUCUCCUUAGGGACAAAAGGCAGAAGCCAUGCUGACACCAGGGGCUUGUCCCUCAACUCAGUCUAUCACCUCCAGUGUAUGGGCUUGUCUCUAGAAGCUGGGCACUCUCUCUCCCUGGCUCAAGCUUCAUGGGCUCCCAGUUCACACUGACCAUACACUCAGGACAGGAUAAACAAGAACCCCUGGAGGGAGCCAGCGGGGGUGUUUUCUGAGCAUUCUGGGGAAAUAAGACCCAAGUCCCAAGUCUGGCUCUCUUUCUGUUGGGAGAUUUACCUGCCUCGUUAUCCCACACAGGCCAGAAGGCACAGGGGUGAACUUCUUGGUGGUGAUCUCCCAGACAAAUCUGAAUGCAGCAGUGGACAGUCCAUUAGGACUUCAUCCUGCCUUCAAAUACUGACAACAAUACCUCCAUUUUAGGGUCUCAUAGAGACUAGAAAGGCCCUGGAAUGCUUCGACUUGGGAGGGAGGGGGUCCCAGUACAUUACAAAUGAAGAAAUACUAAAAUAGGGUUAUAAAAAUAUAGCACACUUAAAUGUUUACAUUAAACAAAUGAGUCCUUUGAAGAUACACACAAAUCAUGCUGCAAUUAUACUAGUUACAGGAUGACGGGAAGUAUAAUAAUAUUCUUGCACAACAGACUGCAGGCUGUGUGACCUGGUAGUGAGACACACAUUUAAAGCUGUCUGAUGGAGGUCUUCUCUGCCUCCUGCUUGGGAAUAUCAGCCACAGAAUGUGAUGCUUGGCACCUGCCGUGGCUGAUCAUUCUGUCACAUCACACACUGAGUUUGUUUUCAUUUCCACACUUACCUCUAUUUGAAAUCGUCUUGUUUCCUUAUUUGCUGAAUGUCCCCUUUAGAAUAUAAGUGCCGUGAGGCAGGAAUCUUCUCCAUCCACUUUGCCAAGGUCUGGCACAUGGUAAGCACUCUGUGAAUAUUGGCUAAAUGAAGGCACAUGUAUGAUAUACUCAUUUAUGUGAGACCAAGGGCACAGCCCUACACAGUGGGAUUUAGUGGUAAGAGAACUAAAUUCCACAGUGGGUGGUGGUUCCCAGAGAAGCAGCGUGCAGGACGGGAGCAGAGCCCUGGACCACAGCUCCAGUCCCAGCUCAGCUGCUGUCUGCCCAGCAACCUCGGGCCAAUUGCUGCUGUUCCCCAAGAGUUAUUUUCCCUGUUGGAAACAUGAUGGAGAGCCACAUAAGCAGAUCCCUCAGGUUCCCAGAGCAUUUGGGAGAGACUUUACUUCUUGUAGUUUGGAUUUAUGUAGUACUUAAGUUCUAUGUAGUAUAUAUUUUAU